UCUGCUUUCGCGCCGUUAGCGCCAUUCCCCCCGUCGGGUCGCCAUCUUUUGUUUCCCGAAGGAAGAAAACAAAGCGAGGAAAGUUUGCGGUAGGGAGCACGACCGUGGCUACCAAGACGGCUGACGGCGCAGUACCCGAGGCGUUUGGCGGGCCCGAUAGUAAACGAACAUAACGGGAUGAUCUGUGGACUGCCCACGAGUACGCACUCAGCAUUGAUGGCAGGCUCAUGGUUCAGAAGAUACCAGACGUCCCUACGGCAUGGGCUGCACUCUUCGCGAGUCACUAUUGCUUUAACAUCUGCUACGCUGAAGGCCUGUCAUCGACCCUUGAGUUCCUUCAGAGAGGUUUCCUGAGCAUGAACCCUGACCGUGGCACCAGAGCCAAGCGCUCCAAGUCAGAAGUGAACAAGAAAGUACUUAACCUGGUCAAGAAAAUAGCAGAGCUGGAGUGGAAUGUGUGAGGCUGUCGGUCAUCCUAUGUGGGAACGAGGCAUGCAAC
Molecule: long non-coding RNA, 499 nt
Organism: Ixodes scapularis (black-legged tick)
Lineage: Eukaryota; Metazoa; Arthropoda; Arachnida; Ixodida; Ixodidae
Exons: 4
Source: RefSeq, a predicted model, not a curated record